UUUAAAGUAUAAGUAUAUCCCAUGCAAUAUUUGGGACAUACUUAUACUAAAA
RNAcentral lists this microRNA precursor (52 nucleotides) under Loxodonta africana (African savanna elephant). RNAcentral's name for it is "mir-1302 microRNA precursor family". It matches the Rfam family "mir-1302 microRNA precursor family". Lineage: Eukaryota; Metazoa; Chordata; Mammalia; Proboscidea; Elephantidae. The record is from Rfam by way of RNAcentral.